GAUGAACGCUGGCGGCGUGCUUAACACAUGCAAGUCGAACGAGCCUUCGGGCUAGUGGCGGACGGGUGAGUAACGCGUGGGAAUCUGCCCUCAGGAGGGGGAUAACGGCCGGAAACGGCCGCUAAUACCCCAUAUGCCGAGAGGUGAAACGAAUUUCGCCUGAGGAUGAGCCCGCGUCUGAUUAGCUAGUUGGUGGGGUAAUGGCCCACCAAGGCGACGAUCAGUAGCUGGUCUGAGAGGAUGAUCAGCCACACUGGGACUGAGACACGGCCCAGACUCCUACGGGAGGCAGCAGUGGGGAAUUUUCCGCAAUGGGCGAAAGCCUGACGGAGCAACGCCGCGUGAGGGAUGAAGGCCUCUGGGCUGUAAACCUCUUUUCUCAAGGAAGAAGACAUGACGGUACUUGAGGAAUAAGCCACGGCUAAUUCCGUGCCAGCAGCCGCGGUAAUACGGGAGUGGCAAGCGUUAUCCGGAAUUAUUGGGCGUAAAGCGUCCGCAGGCGGCCUUGUAAGUCUGUCGUUAAAGCGUGGAGCUCAACUCCAUUUAAGCGAUGGAAACUACAAGGCUUGAGUGUGGUAGGGGCAGAGGGAAUUCCCGGUGUAGCGGUGAAAUGCGUAGAUAUCGGGAAGAACACCAGUGGCGAAGGCGCUCUGCUGGGCCAUAACUGACGCUCAUGGACGAAAGCCAGGGAGCGAAAGGGAUUAGAUACCCCUGUAGUCCUGGCCGUAAACGAUGAACACUAGGUGUCGGGGGAAUCGACCCCCUCGGUGUCGUAGCUAACGCGUUAAGUGUUCCGCCUGGGGAGUACGCACGCAAGUGUGAAACUCAAAGGAAUUGACGGGGGCCCGCACAAGCGGUGGAGUAUGUGGUUUAAUUCGAUGCAACGCGAAGAACCUUACCAGGGUUUGACAUCCUGCGAAUCCCUUGGAAACGAGGGAGUGCCUUCGGGAGCGCAGAGACAGGUGGUGCAUGGCUGUCGUCAGCUCGUGUCGUGAGAUGUUGGGUUAAGUCCCGCAACGAGCGCAACCCACGUCUUUAGUUGCCAGCAUUUAGUUGGGCACUCUAGAGAGACCGCCGGUGAUAAACCGGAGGAAGGUGUGGAUGACGUCAAGUCAUCAUGCCCCUUACAUCCUGGGCUACACACGUACUACAAUGCUACGGACAAAGGGUUGCAAGCUCGCGAGAGUUAGCUAAUCCCAUAAACCGUGGCUCAGUUCAGAUCGUAGGCUGCAACUCGCCUACGUGAAGGAGGAAUCGCUAGUAAUCGCAGGUCAGCAUACUGCGGUGAAUACGUUCCCGGGCCUUGUACACACCGCCCGUCACACCAUGGAAGUUGGCCAUGCCCGAAGUCGUUACUCCAACCCUUGUGGAGGAGGACGCCGAAGGUGGGGCUGAUGACUGGGGUG
Molecule: ribosomal RNA, 1406 nt
Filed under: Synechococcus sp. PS715
Lineage: Bacteria; Bacillati; Cyanobacteriota; Cyanophyceae; Synechococcales; Synechococcaceae
Description: bacterial SSU rRNA
Rfam family: Bacterial small subunit ribosomal RNA
Source: RNAcentral